CGAGCUGAGGCUGGACAUUGCUACUUCUCUCCUCAGAGAAUCUGAUGAUCUAAGCAGGCUUUGCUUUUACUGCGGGAUGGAGGAGCAGGAUGAAGAACAUUGGAUUUGCUGUGACAUUUGUCAGCAGUGGUACCACCACCAAUGUGUACAAAGGCCGCCAGUUGAUCAACCGUACUUGUGCCCUGGAUGCACAUAAUGCCCCGAAGGAACCAUCAUUAACUGUCCACUGUCAUUUCAACCAAUGCAACUAUUGUUUGGCCUGUCAUAAA
Gymnodraco acuticeps is the source of this 269-nucleotide long non-coding RNA. RefSeq lists it as uncharacterized. The record is from RefSeq and is a predicted model, not a curated record. The transcript has 3 exons. Lineage: Eukaryota; Metazoa; Chordata; Actinopteri; Perciformes; Bathydraconidae.